CGUGCCCUCGGUACAAUCCGAUGCACAAACUGCAAACUGGGUUCACCGUCAACCACAACGGCACCCGACAGUCCGGAACAGUCUGUACACUACUGUAAAAAUAUACUCGGCAUCUCAGCAUGAGCGUAAAUGCAUUCUACACUAUUCUGAAUAUCUACAGCCCACAAACUGCAGCGAUACAAACUAACUACUGCUCCUAGAGCUAAAUCUAGU
RNAcentral lists this long non-coding RNA (213 nucleotides) under Ananas comosus (pineapple). RNAcentral describes it as "long non-coding RNA (ACOM_LNC012249)". Lineage: Eukaryota; Viridiplantae; Streptophyta; Magnoliopsida; Poales; Bromeliaceae. The record is from RNAcentral.